AAUAUUGGUCAAUGGGGGCAACCCUGAUCCAGCCAUGCCGCGUGUGUGAAGAAGUUCUUCGGAUUUUAAAGCACUUUAAGUUGGGAGGAAGGGCUCUAGGUUAAUACCCUGAAGUUUUGACGUUACCAACAGAAUAAGCAUCGGCUAACUCUGUGCCAGCAGCCGCGGUAAUACAGAGGGUGCAAGGUUGAAUCGGAUUUACGGGGCGUAAAGCGCGGGUAGGUGGUUCAGUAAGAUGGGUGUGAAAUCCCCGGGCUUAACCUGGGAACUGCUUUCAUAACUGAUGAGCUAGAGUACGGUAGAGGGUAGUGAAAUUUCCUGUGUAGCGGUGAAAUGCGUAGAUAUAGGAAAGAACACCAGUGGCGAAGGCGACUACCUGGACUGAUACUGACACUGAGGUGCGAAAGCGUGGGGAGCAAAC
This 421-nucleotide ribosomal RNA is filed under the name uncultured bacterium. RNAcentral describes it as "partial 16S ribosomal RNA". It matches the Rfam family "Bacterial small subunit ribosomal RNA", at positions 360 to 773 of the family's 1533-position model. The record is from RNAcentral.